GGAAGAAAAUGACUGUACCCGAAUAAGAAGGUCCGGCUAACUUCGUGCCAGCAGCCGCGGUAAUACGAAGGGACCUAGCGUAGUUCGGAAUUACUGGGCUUAAAGAGUUCGUAGGUGGUUAAAAAAGUUGGUGGUGAAAUCCCAGAGCUUAACUCUGGAACUGCCAUCAAAACUUUUUAGCUAGAGUAUGAUAGAGGAAAGCAGAAUUUCUAGUGUAGAGGUGAAAUUCGUAGAUAUUAGAAAGAAUACCAAUUGCGAAGGCAGCUUUCUGGAUCAUUACUGACACUGAGGAACGAAAGCAUGGGUAGCGAAGAGGAUUAGAUACCCUCGUAGUCCAUGCCGUAAACGAUGUGUGUUAGACGUUGGAAAUUUAUUUUCAGUGUCGCAGCAAAAGCAGUAAACACACCGCCUGGGGAGUACGACCGCAAGGUUAAAACUCAAAUGAAUUGACGGGGACCCGCACAAGUAGUGGAGCAUGUGGUUUAAUUCGAAGAUACGCGCAGAACCUUACCAACACUUGACAUGUUCGUCGCGACUUUAAGAGAUUAAAGUUUUCGGUUCGGCCGGACGAAACACAGGUGCUGCAUGGCUGUCGUCAGCUCGUGUCGUGAGAUGUUGGGUUAAGUCCCGCAACGAGCGCAACCCUCACUUUUAGUUGCCAUCAUUUAGUUGGGCACUCUGAAAGAACUGCCAGUGAUAAGCUGGAGGAAGGUGGGGAUGACGUCAAGUCCUCAUGGCCCUUACGUGUUGGGCUACACACGUGCUACAAUGGCAUUUACAAUAGGAAGCAAGAUGGCGACGUCAAGCAAAUCCUAAAAAGAUGCCUCAGUUCGG
RNAcentral lists this ribosomal RNA (834 nucleotides) under marine metagenome. RNAcentral describes it as "bacterial SSU rRNA". It matches the Rfam family "Bacterial small subunit ribosomal RNA", at positions 443 to 1296 of the family's 1533-position model. The record is from RNAcentral.